Molecule: small RNA, 4844 nt
Filed under: Rattus norvegicus (Norway rat)
Lineage: Eukaryota; Metazoa; Chordata; Mammalia; Rodentia; Muridae
Description: uncharacterized LOC102555022
Source: RNAcentral
UCUUUUAGUUUAUAGUGCAUCAUCCAGAGAAGUCAGGGCAGGACCUCAAGCAGGGCAAGGACCUGGAGGCCACGGAGGGGUGCUGCUCACUUCCUUUUCCUUCACUGCUUGCUCAGCCUGCUUUCUUAGAGUACUCAGGCCCACUCGUCCAGGUUGGCAGCAUGUCCUCUUCUCCCUCUCCUCUCCCCCUGUAAGUCUGGCCUGCCAACAUCAGUCAAGAAACUGUCAAGCUGACAUAGAGCUAGCCAGUACAAAUGGUGAGACUUAGAUUGGUUUCAGAAAUACACAAGAGGGUCUGACGUGGGUGUUCACUCUAAAACCCCCGAAAACAUCAUAUCCUGGACUCUGAGUCUUAUGACAAGAUCAGGAUAGCCGAGGCAGCUGAGAAAAACACAGAGAUGCUUAGCAUGGAAAAAGACCCAUCACAACAAAGGCUGACUUUCCUUAUCAGUGUGAACCCACGAACCCAGUGAGCACCCCCAAAUCUGCAUCGAGGAUGAUGCUGUGAGUCACGGCAUGACUCAUGGCUCCCUGACCACCACAGAACAGAAACAAGAAUAAUUUACUGCCUAGGCCAAAAGGACCUGAAAGAGCUUUCCCACCCACCACACGAGUGGCGCAUCAGAUUAGGAGUAAGGCGCCAUUCUUUCUUCUUCCUCAAGUGGAUUAGUUCUCCCUUUUGCAUCUUCCCCAGAGACCCAAGGCCAGAUAAGCCUCUGGCUUUACUAAUAAUCUUCCAGUGAACCGGCCUGUCCCUGUACCUGCCUACUCAGGCCCCUCCUGCAUGGCAAUCUAAACCAGAAGAAUGCCUCAGCACACAAAAAUGUACUUCAUCACUCCUCAGAGCAAGAUGGCUUCUUGGAUCAAUGUUUUAUGCCUUCCCUCCCUUGACCAUGACACUAAACAGACUCAUAAUAAACUGUCUCUAAGUGAACAAGCAAGAAAUUAUUCUCAGGCCAAGACACUUUGUUCUUCAAAGCUCUUUCGCUCUUGUGCUUAUAAGAAUCAAAGUCCCAGAGACCACAUUUAGGAGCACACGGAAGAGUCUGUCUUAACAGAGGGUUGGUGUGCAGGACCCAGGGCUUCUACUUCCCUCUGGAGGCUGGGGUACUGUUUGGGGUCACACGGCAAGGCCUUCUCAGGAGCUAGGAAAGGCUUGCUCUUAAGUUCUUUUUCUCCUCCUGAGCUGUACCUGACACCUGACCGGCUGUCUUUCAAAGUUUAACCCUGCCGCAAUGUGAGGAUUAAACCCUCCUGAAGCAGGAGGUUGUCUGGCAUCUGGAUUUUUUCUCUUUCUGUAGACAACACUGUGAAGAAUGGCCUCAUACAUCCAUCAAAUGUACCCUCCUUUAGUAACAACAGGAGGCAACUGAGAGGAACAGUCUUACCUUGUUAAUCUGUGUUUCCCACACUGAUAGCACUAAAAGCAGUAAGAAGGUAUCCCUCUGCUUAGGGCUUGAGUGUCCCUCAACAACCUUUUCACGGCGAUGAGGCCAGUGGGAACCAUGGGACACCUUGAUUCAACCUUAUGCAGAGGCUGCCCCAGUGUGAAUGCAGAAUCCUAGGUCAUUUGCAUGAUGUCAUGGGUGAAGAAUAGUUAGGUGGUCAGUAUUUUUCUGUGGAGAAAAGUACACCCUAAUGACAGACAGGAGAGUUGCUGCUUUGGGGAAUGGAGCCCUGAAACAGGGCACCCGUGUUUCUUCCUUCAUUGAGAUUUCUUUGCUGUCUUCAUAACUCUGCAAGGAAAUGUUGAUUGAAUUCUGACUUUAAUCUUGUAGAUACAGAGAUGCUGUCUGAAAUGGCCUGAGGGGAGACACAGAGCCUAGGCAAGUCUAUGUUUGUCGAUAGAAGGCUGAGCCCCAAAAGCAAAAGUUGAAACAAAAAACCUAAACCAAACCUUGAAAGGUAGAGCUUAAGCAGAUAGAAGUCACAAGCUUGAUGCUUUGUAAGGUUGGAGCUGAGGUUUCUGAGCUCUACCAGGUCUUGAGGGAUGGGAUAUUUUCCUGCAGGGAGAUAAAAUAGUGUCUGAAGCAUGGUCAGCUCAGUGGGAACAUUUUAAAAACACAAAUUGAUAAUUUAUUGUUUUUUUAAAUUGACAACUCAUUUCAAAAUUAAAUAUUUUAUUCAAAAUUUGAAGUGACAUUCUUUUUUAAAGCUUAAUUAAUCUAAACUGUUAUCUGACUUUUCAACGUAAGAGUUUGUCACUUAUGAAGUGGUAUUUUUCAGGAGUUUGUUUCAGAGUAAUUUGGUAGGAAGAAAUGGACCAUAAGCAAUUCCUGGCUGAGAACUGUCCAAGCUGGAUGAUGUCUGUUCAUCGCAUGCAUAUGAGAAGAUAUGAGAACCUUCCAGAACAAGGAUGUGGUGGUUGCAGGCUACCGUGUGGGUGCUGGGAAUUCAAUCCCAGGUCUUCUGGAAGAGUAACCAGCGCUUUCAGAACCUGAGUCAUCUCCCUGGCCCUGACACUUCUUUAUAGACAUUAGAAUUUUCAUAACUGACACCGUCAGGCGGAACACGGACUCCAGGCAGCUGUGGGAGACAAGAGCGCACCAGUGGAGAAGCAAACACGUGAAAACACGGGCUCACUGUGGCCGGUAUUCUUCAUCUUCAGUCUUAUAAGCCUUUCUGCCCACGAAGGUUCUGUAGGGUAUGAUUUGGAGUCAAGGAUUAAAGUUAUUUUUAAAAAGAUAAAUUCAUGUAUAUUCAUAAUCAAACAAUUCAAGUUUGAGGCACAUGCCAAAUUGUCAUAAUUAGGGAAAUUAAAGACAACAAUUUUUAUAACGUUUCUACUGGAGAAGGCAAAGACAAUGGACACAGGAGAUUCAGACAUUUUCAAAUACAACUCAUUGCUGUGAGAAUUAAUGUUUUUUUUUUUUUUUUGGUAAGCAGAGUCCAAGGGGGGUUUAUAAAGAAAGGACUCCCGAGCCACUAUAAUGAGGAGAUGGAACUAUGGGAAUAGUGACCAUAUGGCCGAAAACUCUAGAAGCAUGCUUGGGAGUCUGUCUCUGAGGUCAUCUAGGCUUGAACAUGAAAUAUGACAAUGGCGGUUCAGCUGCUGACGGGAGGAAGAUGGAUGCCGUGGCAGCCCACAAGGGUUUUGGCAGAAAGCAGGAUUCCAUUUGGUAUGAUGCAUUCGAAGGGAGGGACCACAGCAUCGUGCACAUGUGGCAUGUUUUUGGCUCACUGUUAGACGAUGGAGUCUGGGAUCUAUAUAACCUUGGAAGGUAUCAGGUUGACUUUCAGCACAAUAGCUCUUAUCCGAAGUAACUGCAAAGUGAGAACUGCAGCAGCCCCCCAAAGCGUGGUAACAAACAUCACGCUCCACUUGCCAGGACGGACUUCCUUAACAGAGGAGAAAGCGAGGAGCAUUUGAAUAUAUAAUAAAAUCUUCUAACAUGGCUCCUUUUUCCUAGAUGUGUCUAGAGCAUUGCCGUGCACUUGUUCCCCGAGGUCAAAGGUGACUCUGAGUAUUAACGAGAAGAUGCCUGAACUGACUCGGCUGCAGUCCUGCAGAGAACAACUCCACACGCGUGCCUGCUCUCUGCUGUCUCACUGCUUUCCCCUCCCCCUUUCUAGGUGUUAAAUUGCCAGAAGCCAUCAGCCUUUGGCUGCAACAUAGCAGAGUUCAAGAAGGUAAAAGUUGCCAAAGGUGAAGGGGCUCUGGUCAAGCAAUCACCAAUGGAAAUGGAAAGGUGAAGCACACUCCUUCACUGCCCUCCUUGGUGAGCUGGGUGCUGGGACAAACUCCUGGGAAAGAAGAGAGCAUCAGACACAAUGCACCAAGCAGCACAGACGCAGAGAUCUGCUCUUUUCUUCAUAAGAUGACGUUGAUGCCUUUUGCCAAGACCUGCUUCUAUGGCACACCAGAAAGUAUUACCAGGAGCUGUAUUGUUUUAUAUGUCUCUUUUUGUUCAUCCUCUUAAAGAUUAAAACAUUUUAAGGAUAUGAAUAGCUUGAAAUGAACUAAACCAGUCAUUGUUAUUACAGAAGAACUGCCCAGAAUCCAAACAUGACUCCAUUAAAUACAUUGCUGUGUCUCCCACCAUAACUUGUCUUCUAUCUCUCACCUUAGCUUGGAACCCCACCUGCAAGCUCACCAGAUGAAGUCUUCCCAGUUUCCUUCUACUCUGAUGCCUUGGGUUUGGAUCCCAGCACAGGGCACAUGUGAGGAGGACCCUUUGACUAGUAAGGGAACUCUUGUAUCCAGAACAUGACUUUUUAAUUGCAGAUCACUGAAAAGGGGAGAGUGAUAAACAAAUAAACAAACAACAACAACAACAACAUGCUUCCUCUGGCACACCACAGGCUAAGACUGACUCCAGCAAAGUUUAGGCACCUAUUCCAGUAGCUAGUAGGCUCCAACUAUUGAGGGUGUUUCAAACUGCAUGAAAGCCAAGGACUGAGCCCUCUGGUGAGCGCAGAGUUCCCAGUCCCCUGUCCCAAGUUAAGCCUCCACCGGAUUGCGCCUUGCAGACAGGAGAUCAUGAGAAUCUUCCAGGCACAUCCAUAGCAGAGAAACAGACAGCGAGUGAGCUGAGUGUCUUCUGGGUGGAUCACCUGGAAAGGCCCAGUUUUGUGAAGAAUGUGAUAAAGUUAGUAAAAGUGACUUUGGAAAAAGAAUUCACCCAAACACAAGUAAACAAACAACCUGGAAAGCUUGAAUUUCAGAAGGAAGCCAAAGCUUUGCCAACAGUUCUUUGUCCUGCUGCACUGAGUUGCAGGAAAGCUCCAGCGGACUUGGCCCUGGGCUCACAACUGAGCUGGAAAAGACAUGGAGCAUUAUUUAAUUUUUUCUUUUUAUUAGUUAUUUUAUUUAUUGGCAUUUCAAAUGUUAUCCCCCUUCCCAG